UACGUAGGGGGCAAGCGUUGUCCGGAUUUAUUGGGCGUAAAGAGCGUGUAGGCGGCUAGGUAGGUCCGUUGUGAAAACUCGAGGCUCAACCUCGAGCUGUCGAUGGAAACCAUCUGGCUAGAGUCCGGAAGAGGAGAGUGGAAUUCCAGGUGUAGCGGUGAAAUGCGUAGAUAUCUGGAGGAACACCGGUGGCGAAGGCGGCAUCCUGGACCGGCAUUGACGCUGAGGCGCGAAAGCUAGGGGAGCAAACGGG
This 253-nucleotide ribosomal RNA is filed under the name uncultured bacterium. Its description in RNAcentral is "partial 16S ribosomal RNA". It matches the Rfam family "Bacterial small subunit ribosomal RNA", at positions 524 to 776 of the family's 1533-position model. The record is from RNAcentral.